Molecule: ribosomal RNA, 447 nt
Filed under: uncultured bacterium
Lineage: Bacteria
Description: partial 16S ribosomal RNA
Rfam family: Bacterial small subunit ribosomal RNA
Source: RNAcentral
AACGAACGCUGGCGGCAGGCUUAACACAUGCAAGUCGAGCGCCUCGCAAGAGGAGCGGCAGACGGGUGAGUAACGCGUGGGAAUCUACCGUGCCCUACGGAAUAGCUCCGGGACACUGGAAUUAAUACCGUAUACGCCCUUCGGGGGAAAGAUUGAGCGUGGUAUGAUGAGCCCGCGUUGGAUUAGCUAGUUGGUGGGGUAAAGGCCUACCAAGGCAACGAUCCAUAGCUGGUCUGAGAGGAUUAUCAGCCACAUUGGGACUGAGACACGGCCCAAACUCCUACGGGAGGCAGCAGUGGAUAAUAUUGGACAAUGGGCGCAAGCCUGAUCCAGCCAUGCCGCGUGAGUGAUGAAGGCCCUAGGGUUGUAAAGCUCUUUCACCGGUGAAGAUAAUGACGGUAACCGGAGAAGAAGCCCCGGCUAACUUCGUGCCAGCAGCCGCCGUAA